This 387-nucleotide ribosomal RNA is filed under the name Triticum aestivum (bread wheat). Its description in RNAcentral is "partial small subunit ribosomal RNA". Lineage: Eukaryota; Viridiplantae; Streptophyta; Magnoliopsida; Poales; Poaceae. The record is from RNAcentral.
AUGAGGAAAUGGAGAAGGUCAAGGGGUUCCCGGUGGACAACAACGUGCCCUACACAGAGAGGCUGGAAAUUUUACGAAUAUUAUGAACACCAAGACCUACAGCUUAGUGCAGCCGACGGGAGGCUUGUGCAGACCUACAACCAGAAGCCAGUGUUGUCUAUACCCGAGCACAAAUUCUACAAGGGAUUGAACUAAUUUGAGAUCGAUAUCGACGUGCACCAGUUCAAUUACAUAUCGUGAAAGGGCUUCGAGACCUUCCGAGAGCAGCACAAACAUGGCACCAUUGAUCUUGAUCUAACCAUUCAGGUACUUAAGUUUCCUUCUGUUCUUGGCCUUGGCACCACUUGGCAUGAGGAGUAUUUUGUUCAGAGGAAGUCUAAUGUCUGA